This 649-nucleotide ribosomal RNA is filed under the name Trichoderma harzianum. RNAcentral's name for it is "eukaryotic LSU rRNA". The stretch from base 262 to 415 matches the Rfam family "5.8S ribosomal RNA". The record is from RNAcentral. Lineage: Eukaryota; Fungi; Ascomycota; Sordariomycetes; Hypocreales; Hypocreaceae.
UUUAGAGGAAGUAAAAGUCGUAACAAGGUCUCCGUUGGUGAACCAGCGGAGGGAUCAUUACCGAGUUUACAACUCCCAAACCCAAUGUGAACGUUACCAAACUGUUGCCUCGGCGGGAUCUCUGCCCCGGGUGCGUCGCAGCCCCGGACCAAGGCGCCCGCCGGAGGACCAACCAAAACUCUUAUUGUAUACCCCCUCGCGGGUUUUUUUAUAAUCUGAGCCUUCUCGGCGCCUCUCGUAGGCGUUUCGAAAAUGAAUCAAAACUUUCAACAACGGAUCUCUUGGUUCUGGCAUCGAUGAAGAACGCAGCGAAAUGCGAUAAGUAAUGUGAAUUGCAGAAUUCAGUGAAUCAUCGAAUCUUUGAACGCACAUUGCGCCCGCCAGUAUUCUGGCGGGCAUGCCUGUCCGAGCGUCAUUUCAACCCUCGAACCCCUCCGGGGGGUCGGCGUUGGGGAUCGGCCCUGCCUUGGCGGUGGCCGUCUCCGAAAUACAGUGGCGGUCUCGCCGCAGCCUCUCCUGCGCAGUAGUUUGCACACUCGCAUCGGGAGCGCGGCGCGUCCACAGCCGUUAAACACCCAACUUCUGAAAUGUUGACCUCGGAUCAGGUAGGAAUACCCGCUGAACUUAAGCAUAUCAAUAAGCGGAGGAA